GCACAGGACAGAUGGACUUUCCUGAGCCACAGGAGUUUGCAACCCUGGUGAUGACUUGAGACCUUGUUUUCCACGGGUGCUGUUACACUGCUAUUGGAAGAACACCAGGAGAGGCUCAGCUUCUUAACAGACUGUCAGCGUAAGGCUUUCUCCUGGGCAUGAGACAGUGGCCAAGAUACAUACAGAGGCACAUUGGAAAUGCAGUAGAAAAUGGCUGCAGAUUUAAAACCAGAAGUUAAGAAGAGUGAACCCGAAUGUAUAGCAAGAGAGCUUCAGGCUGGACUGGCUUCCAGCAGAAGUGGGACUGGAAACCUUGGAUUCUGUUGCCUCUUCUCUGUGACGUGGGAAAACAUAGUGAACCCAGAGCACAUGGCUUUCCACCCGGACUGGUUGGUUACUGCUGCCCUAUUCUUUGAUGGAGAUUAAAAAACAAACAAACAUACCUGAUUGCAAUGGUGCUUUGAAACCCCUAGAUCCUGAACUCCUUUGGGGGAGAUCUGAGAGUGGGAGCAGGGCCCUGUGCAGCCAAUUCAGCCUCCCAAGCUGGCUAACACCUGGGAGAACCUUGGCAUUUACCCAGAGAAACAUCCUAAUGUGUACCGCAGCAGGGCGUGGUAAAGAACCUAGAAACAUGUCAGUCAGUAGAAGGUGUGUUGGCCCCCAGAAAGCCAAGCAUUUGUCUGAUGAAGCAUGGAGUGGAUUCUGGCUUAUAGCUUUCAUCACUCGGCUGGGUCCUUUGUCAGCUGAAAAGGUAGCAGCUGAGAGCAUUAGCAGAAACAGUCGAUGGGCUAAGCUCUCUGUGAGAGCUGCAGACUCAAUCAAGGAGGGCUGGGAGCCCAGGUGUUGGCUGUCAUGAGAAGUCCACUUGCGGCAGUGGCAGUGAUCUUCAUAGACACAGGCUCACUGUGCUCAGAGCCCCAUUUUCCCACUGACACUGGCCAAGAUGCAUCCUGACUGUGCGCAGACCCUGGAGAGAACGAACCGAUAGUGGCAACACUGGCACAGUGGCCAGCCAAGGAGGGAAAAGCAAAGCAAAGAGGACUGAGGCAAAGCAAAAAGAACUGAAGAUAUAAAGACACAUACCUCUACUGGGAAGAGCUCUUCAUAGAACAAGGACAAUGGCCAGCAAGGUGCCAUGCCUGAAAGUAUUCAAUCACCAAGUCCAGCUUCCUGGUCUCACCUAUGUCAUCGGAAGUGUGUAGAUUUUAGGCUAAAGGGCUACUUUGGUUCAAUAGGUGGAAACAAAAAUUCAUUAAGCAUCCUGGAAUUAUUGCUGAACUCAGGGAUGAGGGCAGCUUCGAUUUCUUCUCUGAACAUGGAAUUGUUUGCUGGAUUUUGCAGGCUUGACUCCUUGACUUCAGCAGUGCAGUUAUAGAAACAAGCCACCAGCAGUGGCCACACCUAAGCUGGGUUGCGCUUUCGAGGCAAGUGUCCCUGCCAAGGUGGGAAAACCUGAGACGCUCCCCGGUGGGUGCAAAUAUGUGGGAGAACAUUGAAUAAAAUUUCCCCUGGGGCGCCCCCCAGGAAGCAUGCUUCCUUCUCCACUCUCCAUUUGGCUCUCAUUUUCAGUUCCUCUGUGUCUAGGCAAAACCUUUAUGUUGUUUAAAAUGAAAUUAGAACCGAAAGGAAGCAGGGAGCAGUUGUGGCCAAAGAUGACACUGAAAAAAGGUGGAAAUUGGUGGCAGCACCAGGUUUUCCCUGCUGGAGUUCGCACCCCUAAAAUAAGCAGGCAGAAAGUUGGGAGGAAAGCAGAGCUGCAGGCCGCUCAGUCACUGGGUUCCACCAUGGGAUACCCAGUGCCGUGCUGACCCCAGAGCAGAUCCAGACUCUCCUCCCGACUCCCUCACCCCUUCCUCUCCUUUGGGGGUCCUCACAGCACCCCCUACCCCCAGCUCUUACCCAUGCAAUGCACAGGCCCUUCCCUAGUUCUGAAGGGAUUUAUGCCUUUUGGAGGAGCAGGUUUUAAAGCCAAAAGGGCUUUUUGGUGAUGUGCAAGAGCCCAAAGGCUGGCACCACGGCCUGGCCGCUGGGUGCAGGCCAGUGAGGCUCAUACUCGCUGGCCCCAGGGGUUGGGGGUUGGGCGUGGGGUGGGGGCUUUCCCUGGAUCCUAGGUGGACCAAAGUUAUCUCAGAGGAGUGAGGACUGGAGCGGGAUGCUCAUGCUUCCGUCCUCAAGGGGCAAGCGCUGCAGGGAGAGGCUCCCGGCUGACACCCUUUAGGAGGCCUGGAAUUGGGGCAGCUUUUCCUGACAGAGGGCUGUCUGGCUUGCUGAGCUGGGCUCUGCCAAAAAGCCAUCUCAGCCCUGGCUUUCAUGCUAACGUAAGGAAGUGAUUAUGACUGGAAACUUGAACUUGGAAUGUGGUCUCUCCAGGCCCAGGGUACUUCUAGUGUGCCUCGUUGGGUAAAACAGGCUUUUUCAGCUGCCCUGGCUGCCUUGCCAUGGAGCGGGAAGAGCCCGUAGCUGCGAGGUGUAAGCUGUGGGUCUGGCCUGGCCUGUCACCCUGAGUGUGAGGGGACAGCACCCUCAGCAUCUCUGGGCCUCACAGGAGGGUCUCAGCCCCUUUCUACCUCAAUAAAUUUUAUGUAAUCAAGUGUGUUAUUCAUUUGGUGUCUUUCUUUCCCCGUAGUUUGUGUAGAAAGGAAGUGGAGUUGUGGUAAAAAGAAACCCAGCGCAGCCAAAACACACAUACACAAAACCCCCGGGCAUCUCUCGGUUGAGUUUCGCUUGUCAGAAAGUGCCAGGAAAAGACAGCUUGAUUUUUCUUUAUGCAGCUUGUCUGCAAAUGGCACUUGAACUGAAAUAUUCCCUUUCAUCUUUGUGACAGAAAUAUGAUUCAGUAAUUCUUUGUGAAAAUGUAGAUGAUACGCUGCCGUAGUUAUAGUGAGUUAGGUUUAAGUGGCAAAUGCCUACUGAUAAAGACUUCAUUAAAGACACAAUAGCAGUGGGAGGUCAUUAUAGUAAUUACAGUCCCGGCUUUAUUGUUGGGGUCCAGUACUGAAUUGUAGCAGCACAUUAUCACUACAUAGUGUCUUGGUCUGAUGAGGCAGUGAUCCGGCUCAGUGCACUUAGACUAUUUCACUUGCCAUGGGAUCGGGACUUUCUGCAGUUGCCCUGGUUCCACUUUAUUUUCGUGUAGACUUUGUGCCUCAUUUAAAAUAUGUGAUAAAAUAAAUCGGUAAUCUCCUAAGGGUGCAUUCUGUUUCAUCUUUUUCUGGAUACAUAUUA
Molecule: long non-coding RNA, 3225 nt
Organism: Rhinopithecus bieti (black snub-nosed monkey)
Lineage: Eukaryota; Metazoa; Chordata; Mammalia; Primates; Cercopithecidae
Source: Ensembl